UUUGAUCCUGGCUCAGAUUGAACGCUGGCGGCAUGCUUUACACAUGCAAGUCGAACGGCAGCACUGGGGCAACCCUGGUGGCGAGUGGCGAACGGGUGAGGAAUACAUCGGAACGUGUCUUUAAGUGGGGGAUAACGCAUCGAAAGGUGUGCUAAUACCGCAUAAUCUCUGAGGAGAAAAGCAGGGGAUCGCAAGACCUUGCGCUUUUGGAGCGGCCGAUGCCUGAUUAGCUUGUUGGUAAGGUAAAAGCUUACCAAGGCUUCGAUCAGUAGCUGGUCUGAGAGGACGACCAGCCACACUGGGACUGAGACACGGCCCAGACUCCUACGGGAGGCAGCAGUGGGGAAUUUUGGACAAUGGGGGCAACCCUGAUCCAGCCAUGCCGCGUGAGUGAAGAAGGCCUUCGGGUUGUAAAGCUCUUUCAGCCGGAACGAAACGGUUACGGUUAAUACCCGUGACUAAUGACGGUACCGGAAGAAGAAGCACCGGCUAACUACGUGCCAGCAGCCGCGGUAAUA
This 518-nucleotide ribosomal RNA is filed under the name uncultured Nitrosospira sp. RNAcentral's name for it is "bacterial SSU rRNA". It matches the Rfam family "Bacterial small subunit ribosomal RNA", at positions 12 to 525 of the family's 1533-position model. The record is from RNAcentral. Lineage: Bacteria; Pseudomonadati; Pseudomonadota; Betaproteobacteria; Nitrosomonadales; Nitrosomonadaceae.